Molecule: ribosomal RNA, 552 nt
Filed under: uncultured bacterium
Lineage: Bacteria
Description: bacterial SSU rRNA
Rfam family: Bacterial small subunit ribosomal RNA
Source: RNAcentral
UAGGGAAUAUUGGGCAAUGGGCGAAAGCCUGACCCAGCGACGCCGCGUGCGGGAGGACGCCCCUCGGGGUGUAAACCGCUGUCAGAGGGGACGAAUGUCCGGCCGGUGAAUAAUCGGUCGGAGUGACGGUACCCUCAGAGGAAGCACCGGCUAACUCUGUGCCAGCAGCCGCGGUAAUACAGAGGGUGCAAGCGUUGUUCGGAAUCACUGGGCGUAAAGCGCGCGCAGGCGGAUAGAGCAAGUCUGGAGUGAAAUCUCGCCGCUCAACGGCGGGGCUGCUUUGGAUACUGCAUAUCUGGAGAUCGGUAGAGGCUGGUAGAAUUGCUGGUGUAGCGGUGGAAUGCGUAGAGAUCAGCAAGAAUACCCGUGGCGAAGGCGGCCAGCUGGGCCGAAUCUGACGCUGAGGCGCGAAAGCGUGGGGAGCAAACAGGAUUAGAUACCCUGGUAGUCCACGCCGUAAACGAUGGGCACUAGGUGCCGGGGGGAGCGACCCCUUCGGUGUCGUAGCUAACGCGAUAAGUGCCCCGCCUGGGGAGUACGGCCGCAAGGCUG